Rosa rugosa (rugosa rose) is the source of this 328-nucleotide long non-coding RNA. RefSeq lists it as uncharacterized. The transcript is spliced from 2 exons. The record is from RefSeq and is a predicted model, not a curated record. NCBI's taxonomy places the organism in Eukaryota, Viridiplantae, Streptophyta, Magnoliopsida, Rosales, Rosaceae.
GUGAAUUCACUUGAGUACCAAGGACAAUACAGUAAAAAGGCAGAUAGAAAGAUGAAUUUAAAUCUACUUGAGCCCAUUAAAAAUGUGUAAAACCAUUGGGCACUCUCUCGCCUCCAGACAACUAGUUCUAGGUCCUCCUCCUCUGGCUCAAGCCAUUAGAUCAGGCGAUAUUAGUUCCUCGAAAGAAAGGGGCAUUGUGAAUUUCACUACUUCAAGAAUGUCGUCGACGUCGAUUCCGGAGAAGCUUUACUAUUUUAGCAAAGCUUUUCAAAGAAAAAUAAGAGAACGGGUGGCCGGAAAGGAGGACCGGGUUAUUGUCGAUUUUUAU